Molecule: long non-coding RNA, 1148 nt
Organism: Drosophila mojavensis
Lineage: Eukaryota; Metazoa; Arthropoda; Insecta; Diptera; Drosophilidae
Exons: 2
Source: RefSeq, a predicted model, not a curated record
AUAAAUUUAUUGAUUUAAGUUAACAGACAAUAAUUAAUUUGUAAAUAAAUAUGUAUUAUAGAUUUGCUUCACAAUUCCAGAGACUACUGUAUUUGCAGAGUAUCGAAAAGUCUAUAUAUUCAUAUACACACAUAUGUAUAUAAUUCUUCUCUUCAAAUUCUCUUUCUCUUGUAUUUACUUAUGUGUAUGUGUGUGCGAGAGAGUGUGCCUUUGUGUGCGUUUAUUUAGAUGAUCUAUGAAACUGUUUGUUAUUGUUGUUGCUAUGUGUUUUGUUUGUUUUUACAUUUUGAUUACAGAUUGUGAGUAAAUUGGCAAGUUCAUUAAACCGGCUUCGCUUAUCGCUCAGCAACAACAAAAAUGCGUACAAACUUAAACAAAAAAGUAGAAGAAGAAGAGCCACAACAAAAGCAGCAGCACGCCAUAGGCGCAGUAACAAUGGAAGCGAGUAGUUGUAGAGGAAGGCGAAGGGGGUCAAAAAGUGAGCGAACGAACGAGGAUAAAGACAAAUAAACGAUAUCGAAAAUGCAGUUUGGCCUUGAUGAAUGGACACGAGGAAGCAAAGUGCAUAAAUAAAUAUCUGUGGCAGAGCGAUAACAACAACAGUACGAAGUAGAAAAAACAAAAACAAUAUCAGCAAAUGAAACUCCUGCGAUGGCGGCUAGGCCAGACGAAAUAACAACAAAGUUUUUGCUUUUGACGGCGAAAAAGAGAUGCGAAAUGAGGCCAAUUGGCAAAAUGCCAAACGGCGACGAAGCAAUACACAGAGGACACAAAAGACACCACCAAGACGAGGCGACAAAGCGACAAGACGACGUUACGUCGCGAUGUCGAUGUCGACUUCGCUGUCGCUUCGUCGCUGUUAUCGUCUUUAGGGCAGGCUGCAUACUAUUUAUAACAAAUAAAAAAAAAAUCACAUCCCAUUGCGUUUGCAUCUGAAUGUUUGCGCAUUGGGUAUUUAUGCUGCUGCAGCUGAUUACGUUACGCACUUACCCCAUCAACCAGUCGACCGUGUCGCGCAAAUACUCCGGAAUACGCUCCAGUUUGACGGCUGCUCGAUGCUCACUGCUGAUGAUGCCUUUCGCCAAAUAUAUAUUUUUGUAGUUUUUGUUCUACUUCAGCUAACACCAACAGCACCGCCAACAACAACA